UACGGAGGGUGCGAGCGUUGUUCGGAAUCACUGGGCGUAAAGCGCGCGUAGGCGGCCUUGUAAGUCCGGUGUGAAAGCCCGGGGCUUACCCCCGGAACUGCCCUGGAAACUGUGAGGCUAGAGUACCGGAGAGGAGGGAGGAAUUCCUGGUGUAGCGGUGAAAUGCGUAGAUAUCAGGAGGAACACCGGUGGCGAAGGCGGCCCUCUGGACGGAUACUGACGCUGAGACGCGAAAGCGUGGGGAGCAAACAGG
RNAcentral lists this ribosomal RNA (253 nucleotides) under uncultured bacterium. Its description in RNAcentral is "partial 16S ribosomal RNA". It matches the Rfam family "Bacterial small subunit ribosomal RNA", at positions 524 to 776 of the family's 1533-position model. The record is from RNAcentral.